AUGUCUACAAAACCCCCGGCAGCAAGGCAAUUUUUUUUUUGUCACCCUCUCCAUUUGGAGGUGAUUAUUUGGGGAAAUAUAAUUAGAGGUUUUGCACACAAACAGCAGAAAUACACGGCUGAAAAUUUAAAUCUGGAGAUUUCAGGGGAAGGAAUGUUUGCUGAAAAUGUUGUGUGCUCAAUUCACCCAUCAAAAAGGUAUCAAAAAGACCUUCUGGUUUCUUGCCUGAAUGGAGAGGAGGAGGGGUUCUUCAUGAGUGCAAGAAAGCCAGAGGAAUUAUGAAGAAAAGUGAAGCCCAAAACACAUUGUUUUGUGAAGAAAAAGUAAAAUAUGUAUUUAUUACAACUAUUAUUUACAAAGGUCUUCUGUCUUCUCUGCUUUCUAUUGUGUGAACCCAAAACUGAAAUUGCUAAACCAAGAUACAAAAGCAAAUUAUUCAAGACUGUCUUUCUGGAUAUUGUGAGUUAUAUGAAUAAGGCUUUGUGUCUCUACUAUGAUCAGUAAGCAAGAAUACAUUACAUAAAGGUCACAGGCUUAGUGACAGAUGCUCAGAAGUCUUUAUCUAAUAGCGCUUCAUGCAGCCUAUGUGACCACCACUCUGUACCAAUUCCAUGUUUGAUCCUAAAGCCUGGCACAUAUUUUUACUUCAGCAACAACCUCCCUCUUCAUACACGGGACCCAGUGCACACCUAAGGAGCAACUUUAGUCUUUAUGGACCUCUCCUGCCCACUGUCGAACAGUAGGAGGAAGCACAUUGGCUUUGCAAGCUUCUGACCUACCCCAAAUGAUCUUUUCUUCCCUUGCAGCAUUUGUUUUUUCUUAUUCUUCCUUUAUCCAUCCAGUUCUGAGCCAAUAUUUUUUCCUCUCUUUUGUGAGAGAAAAUUGUGUCUUUGGAAGUGGUGUCAGCAGCAAACGCUGGCACCUGGAGUUGACCUCAGACAAUGAGUUGAGUUUGGGUUGGAAGGUGGCCCAGUCUGGAGGAAGGGUGUCCCUUUUUGAAGCAGUAGGUACAUUGCAUUGGCAAGAGGGUGUAUCAUCCCUCUAGCUGGGGACUGGACAAAUAGACAAGUUUGGGGAUACAAAAUCUGACAUUGCGAUGGCUCUCAGGGCAAAUAGUACCCCUGGAGACCUCCCAGCUCAGUGCAGCAGCGAGUUUCAUCUUCUAGGGCUUGUGCUUUAUAUACCCUCUUGCAGCUACAUGUAUUAUCUGUUGGGUUGAUUAAUAUUAGCUUUUUCUUCCAAAACAGUUGUAUUUAACUCAGUUGGAGUUUUCUACUACCUAUUUAAUGUGAUCUGAAGACACCCAAAUGAGCAAGCACCUUUUGGGUAGUACGUGCGUCUUCGUGGAACAGAGAGUUUGAGCAUGCAGCUGGCAGGGAGCUGGCUAGCAUGCACAGGGCUGGACUCAUCCUCCUCUUCAGGGAUGAGGCACGUAGCAAUAGGCAGUUUUAUUCAGCUUAACACCCCCCCCCCCCAGCCAGGCUCUUCGUUAGCCGAGAGGUAACUAACAACAAUAACUCACAUGCCUGAGAAUCACCGCUUGUAUAAUUAACUUGUGACCUGCCUGAAAUACCUUUAAAUGAAAGUUGUUUUCCAGCACACUGGUUAUUACUUUAUUAGUAGAUAUAUAUAGCAUAACAGGCAUUUUUCAGAGGGCCCGUAAGCCUCAAGUCUGAGAUUUUGACUUCAGAAGGAAAGGUUGUAAACUGUUGAGUAAAACACAGAGCAGUAGUCUGCAGAAACCUUUGUCCAGAAAUAGCCUUUUCAGAUCAUGUGCUUUGGCUAGAUAAGACACAUUUGAAUACGAACCUUUAGGCACCAUAUAUUAAGUAGAUACUUGCUGCUUCUUCUUACUGAUUUGUGACAGUGUGUGCCAUCCACUGAAAAACAUGAUUCCUGACAGAAAUAAAGGAUAAUAAUAAAGGCA
RNAcentral lists this long non-coding RNA (1927 nucleotides) under Anser cygnoides (Swan goose). RNAcentral describes it as "lncRNA (ENSACDG00005005219.1)". The record is from RNAcentral. Lineage: Eukaryota; Metazoa; Chordata; Aves; Anseriformes; Anatidae.